This 550-nucleotide ribosomal RNA is filed under the name uncultured bacterium. RNAcentral's name for it is "bacterial SSU rRNA". It matches the Rfam family "Bacterial small subunit ribosomal RNA", at positions 355 to 896 of the family's 1533-position model. The record is from RNAcentral.
UGGGGAAUAUUGGACAAUGGGCGAAAGCCUGAUCCAGCCAUGCCGCGUGUGUGAAGAAGGUCUUCGGAUUGUAAAGCACUUUAAGUUGGGAGGAAGGGCAGUAAGUUAAUACCUUGCUGUUUUGACGUUACCAAAAGAAUAAGCACCGGCUAACUUCGUGCCAGCAGCCGCGGUAAUACGAAGGGUGCAAGCGUUACUCGGAAUUACUGGGCGUAAAGCGUGCGUAGGUGGUUGUUUAAGUCUGUCGUGAAAGCCCUGGGCUCAACCUGGGAAUGGCGAUGGAAACUGGGCGACUAGAGUGUGGCAGAGGGUAGUGGAAUUCCUGGUGUAGCAGUGAAAUGCGUAGAGAUCAGGAGGAACAUCCGUGGCGAAGGCGACUGCCUGGGCCAACACUGACACUGAGGCACGAAAGCGUGGGGAGCAAACAGGAUUAGAUACCCUGGUAGUCCACGCCCUAAACGAUGCGAACUGGAUGUUGGGUGCAAUUUGGCACGCAGUAUCGAAGCUAACGCGUUAAGUUCGCCGCCUGGGGAGUACGGUCGCAAGACUG